AGUGAGCUGAGACUGCGCACCUGCACUGUAGCCUGAAUGACAGAAUCUUCCACCACCUCCUGUGCCGCCACCUGCUAUAAAGUCACCUACUGCCCAAUCCAAGACACAGCUGGAAGUACGACCUGUAGUGGUGCCAAAACUCCCUUCUGUGGAUGCAAGAACAGACAGAUCAUCAGACAGAAAAGGAAGCAGUUACAAGGGGAGAGAAGUAUUGGAUGGAAGACAGGUUGUUGACAUGCGAACAAAUCCAGGUGAUCCCAGAGAAGCACAGGAACAGCAAAAUGACGGGAAAGGACGUGGAAACAAGGCAGCAAAACGAGACCUUCCACCAGCAAAGACUCAUCUCAUCCAAGAGGAUAUUCUACCUUAUUGUAGACCUACUUUUCCAACAUCAAAUAAUCCCAGAGAUCCCAGUUCCUCAAGCUCAAUGUCAUCAAGAGGAUCAGGAAGCAGACAAAGAGAACAAGCAAAUGUAGGUCGAAGAAAUAUUGCAGAAAUGCAGGUACUUGGAGGAUAUGAAAGAGGAGAAGAUAAUAAUGAAGAAUUAGAG
This 550-nucleotide small RNA is filed under the name Pan troglodytes (chimpanzee). Its description in RNAcentral is "processed transcript". Lineage: Eukaryota; Metazoa; Chordata; Mammalia; Primates; Hominidae. The record is from RNAcentral.